RNAcentral lists this long non-coding RNA (2765 nucleotides) under Ananas comosus (pineapple). RNAcentral describes it as "long non-coding RNA (ACOM_LNC037857)". The record is from RNAcentral. Lineage: Eukaryota; Viridiplantae; Streptophyta; Magnoliopsida; Poales; Bromeliaceae.
AGAAACCCACCAAUAAUAGGGUGGAGGAAACCCACUAACUCAAAGUUUAAUAAUAAAACAGCAACAAUGUUGAGUUGAUAUUCUAAGACCCCAAAAAAAAGAAAAAAAAGGAAAAAAAAAAAAACUCUCCUCCUACCAUCUUUCUAAAAAGGGGCAAAGAAGAUUAAAGUUGGGGGGUGGGGGGGCUCAAACCCUAAUUACUCAAUCACAUCAGAGGAACUAAUUGGCAACAACAUCUUUACACCACCAUUCACUCAUCUUCCAUUCUCUUUGUAAAGAACAAAAGAAGGUAUCUUCUUCUUUCUCUCUCUCUAGAUUUGGAUUCUAAUAAGUCUCUCUCCUUUUUAUAUGUUAUUCCCAUGGGAGAUAUUGUUGGCAAUAGUUGUGCAGUGAUGUUUGUCCUUUUUUUUUUAAAAGCAUUUGCACUGUACAUAGUACAAACUAUGCAAAUGAAACAUAAUAAUUGAGGGCACCAGGAUCUGUGCAUAUAUGUAUGUGUAGUUUUUAUCUUCUAGAUCAAUUGGGUUUGAAUAAGAGAGGUUGAUAUUUGCAUUAGAUCUUAUGAUUUUUUAUUUUUAUUUUGAGAGAGAGAGUAAACUAGGAGAGAAAAAAUCACCCAAAAAGAGAGUAAUAUUAAUGAACAAAUAUUUGCAACCUUUAAAAUAUCUAAGAAGAGUACCAAGCCUGAUUAGAACCUCACCCAACACCUUUUUCUUAUACAAUCCUAAAAUUUUAUCCCCAUAAUCAACACUCAGAACAUAAAUAGGAGAUCAAAUCGCAUAAUAAUCAAAACAUGCAGAUUUGCAUGAAUUACUAAAAGCUAAAACCCUCCCCCUUUUUCCCUUUUGUUUUGAAGCCAACCUUUUCUUGUCAUUGAAUCCUCUGUAAAGAGCCUGCUGUUUAAUGCUAGCCACAUAAAAAUUUGAUUUUUAAGAUGCGUGGGGCAAAGCCAAAUUUUCUUAUAAAAAGGCCAUCUCACACCUCCACAGUUGAGAAGGUCACAGAGGGAUUUUAUAGUAAAUUUCCCAUCUUUUGACUAUCACCAGCAAAAUUCUAUCCUCAUCUUGAUUUAAUCUUACAUUUUGCAUCUCUUGUGAUAGUUUGACUGCAUCUUUGGCGAGGUUAAUGGGUUAGUUUCUCAUCUCAACAGAUUACUGGGUGAAAUUUCCAUCCUUUAUCUGGUCUAUUAUCUUUUCUACCAGUGCAUGUAGAAAUGUCUCCUUGAUCUUUGUCAGGCGCGUGAGCAAGGAUUUAAGAAUUGUUCAUUGGCCCAGAUCAUGGACUACAUGCAAGUUUUCGACAUCUUGGCCGCGCAAAAGUAGUUCUCGUCUUGUUUGAGAAAACAGUUUGACUAAAACUGAUCUAAGAAUAGCUUUCUCUGAGUUUUUAAGCAAUUUAAAGCUCCACUCUUCAAUAUUAGCACACAUUACCUGGGUAUCAAUUCAUUGAAUUAUCUAGACAAACCAAAACUUACUGAACAUUGUUUAACUACAUAGAGCAACAACACUUUCAUGUUCUGUUGCCGCUGUGAUUUUAUCGAAAUAGUUGGCGCUAGGCAAGUACAGCUAACAUUUUUCUGUUCCUAUGAACAGAAGAAAUGGUAGUUUUAUUAGGGGCUGAGACAUUAGAUCCAUUUAAGAUAAAGUUGUUAAACAAAAGGCGGCAAAAAGAAUGUUAGUAGCAUGCAGCAUGGCAUCUUUACUGUCAACUAGCAACAAGGAUUAAAAUUGCUAAUAGAGUAGGCACAUUCUAGUUUCUACAUGAUUUUUAUUUGCCUUUUCUUCGAGAAUUUCGUAACUUCUACGAGUGGGGAGUAAUUGAUACUCCAGAUUGUUGGAUAUAAAUCUCUUUUCAUUGUAGGUUGGGUCGAGGGCCCCUCUAACCUAGAAUUUCUACAGAAGUGCAGUUUGAAUAGAAAUGUUCUAAAAAGAACUAUCUAAUUAACAUCUUUUUUAUUUUAAUAUCUGCGUAGCUUUGUUCUGCAGCAAAAGAAGCCUAAAUUGGAGCUUCUUGGCAGAUUCUUUUGAGGCCAAGAAACUCUCUUUUUUUUCCCUUCCUGCCGCGACACAGCUUAUAAUUCUUGCUUGCGUAAACACAUUCUUCCUUGAAGAUGAUUACUCAAACCAUAUAAUGACAUAUUUCAUUUACUUAAGCAAACUAGGGAUAACUCAACUUGAACAUCUCUAUGUUACAUUUUAGAACGAUGGCAUCGACGAAUGAAGCUCCGAGCUGGGCAGAUCAGUGGGGUGCAGGCGGAAUAGGAGACAGAGGCGACCCCGACAAAGAGGCCAAAGCAAAAGAGAACGACAAGAAGAGCACGGGAGGCAAUGCAAAGUCUUUGGCCUCAGCGAGCUUCAACAAGGCCAAGGCCGCUGCGAUAACGGGAGCACAGAAGGUGAAGUGUGGGACAAGCACAGGCUUCAAAUGGGUUAAGGCUAAGUGCCAGAAGCCGAGUUCUAAAUGAAUCAAUGAAUGAAUGAUCUCUGUUGCAGAGACUGUCAGAAAAGGAAGACGAAAUGUUCAUGCAGAGAACUGCUUCAUUUCUGAAAUAGAUUGGGAGAAGCUUCGUCCGCGAGAGAGUGUGAUGUAAUGUUGCUAAUCAGAGUGUGUCGCAUAUAACAGUAGAUUUUCUCAGCAAUUAUUUGAUUUGUUUGGGUGUUAUUUAUCUUUCGUUUAAGGGUGAUUGGUUGUGAUUUUGGACUUUGAUUGAGACCUGCUACUAAGAUAUAUAUAAUACUUGAAUGGGAUUGAUGUGCAAAGACUCA